Molecule: ribosomal RNA, 301 nt
Filed under: uncultured bacterium
Lineage: Bacteria
Description: partial 16S ribosomal RNA
Rfam family: Bacterial small subunit ribosomal RNA
Source: RNAcentral
CAGUAGCCACGGUAAUACGUAGGGCGCAAGCGUUAUCCGGAAUUAUUGGGCGUAAAGAGCUCGUAGGCGGUUUGUCGCGUCUGCCGUGAAAGUCCGGGGCUCAACCCCGGAUCUGCGGUGGGUACGGGCAGACUAGAGUGAUGUAGGGGAGACUGGAAUUCCUGGUGUAGCGGUGAAAUGCGCAGAUAUCAGGAGGAACACCGAUGGCGAAGGCAGGUCUCUGGGCAUUAACUGACGCUGAGGAGCGAAAGCAUGGGGAGCGAACAGGAUUAGAUACCCCAGUAGUCCCUGUCUCUUAUAC